RNAcentral lists this small nucleolar RNA (51 nucleotides) under Fusarium venenatum. The record is from RNAcentral. Lineage: Eukaryota; Fungi; Ascomycota; Sordariomycetes; Hypocreales; Nectriaceae.
AAGAGGGUUAAAAUAAAUCAAAUGUACAACAAUUAAUUUUGGGCUGUAAGA